RNAcentral lists this ribosomal RNA (253 nucleotides) under uncultured bacterium. RNAcentral's name for it is "partial 16S ribosomal RNA". It matches the Rfam family "Bacterial small subunit ribosomal RNA", at positions 524 to 776 of the family's 1533-position model. The record is from RNAcentral.
GACAGAGGGUGCAAACGUUGUUCGGAUUUACUGGGCGUAAAGCGCGUGUAGGCGGCUUUGCAAGUCGGAUGUGAAAGCCCACGGCUCAACCGUGGAAGUGCAUCCGAAACUGCAUGGCUGGAGUCUCGGAGAGGAAGGUGGAAUGCUUGGUGUAGAGGUGAAGUUCGUAGAUAUCAAGCAGAACACCUGCGGCGAAGGCGGCCUUCUGGACGAUGACUGACGCUGAGACGCGAAAGCGUGGGGAGCAAACAGG